This 5472-nucleotide long non-coding RNA is filed under the name Linum usitatissimum (flax). RNAcentral describes it as "long non-coding RNA (LUSI_LNC005620)". The record is from RNAcentral. Lineage: Eukaryota; Viridiplantae; Streptophyta; Magnoliopsida; Malpighiales; Linaceae.
ACCGACAGAAAACUUGGAAUUGAACGGUUAUCUAUCCAUGUAAGCAUUUAACCAAGGUGUCAAACAUGCUGCCCAGAAUGAUGAACUUGAUGAGACAUAAGGCAACUAAAAUACCGACUCGGCAUGCCAACCAUUACGCGACAAUAUUCAUAUCAGCAUGCAUCUUGUUCUAGUAACGACUCGUUUGAAUCAUUCAGUCCCCUCCAAGACUUAGGCCAUUCAGAUAAGAAAGAUAUCUCUGUGCUGCAGGACAUAGGGCGAUCAAAUAGUUUGUCCAUAAAAUCAUCAUAUAAAAGGCACGAAAGGUCAUUUGGAUCAGCAGCUUGCCAACAUAAACAACAUGAAUAAAUAUAUGAGCAAAUCAAAAGCUUGCCUACGAUGGAAUGACGUAACGAUUAUAAACCAAAGGAAUCAGUUCUUUGUUCAGUAGUUAGUUUCCCACAAAUACUGCAGAUUAGCCAGCCACACACAUUGCUACUAGUCAAAAACACUCAUCAAGUAAGACACAGAAGGUAUGAAAUCCAAAUCUAUUCCAUCCUAUAAGACACAGAAGGUAUGAACCAUUGGACACUGAAUCUAAACCACUUGAUGAGGACAAAAAUUACUCAAAAUUCUGGCCACUUCUUUUAAAAAGCUACUUCAAAACAAGAUCAGUCAAAACAAUACUUUUAUGCUAUUUCAGAGAUGAAAAUGAUCCAUAAGAGAAUUAUUUAAAACAUCAAGCUCAAUGCUUAAAAAUUCUGAAGCAGCAUAAAAAAUGUGCCCUCCCACCAACCAGUUGUUCACUGUGCUCGGACAGUUCUUAAAAUCAUCAUAUUGAAGGCUGUACCAGCAGCUUACUAGCAUAACCCAUAUGGUUGAUGUAUUUCCUUUAGAUGGAGCAGAAGGGCAACUGGAAUGACUAUAUGAGUAUCCUUAUAGACAUUUCGAUGAUGUAUUUGCAACUAAUGUCAGCCAUUCCAUUGUUUCCGUCUAGGACUCCAUUUUAGGACUUUCACUUUAGAAGCUUUCUAAAAUAACCCUCAUGGUUGAUAUAUGUCUUUGAGGUGGAGCAGAAGGGCAACUGGAUGACUAUAUGAGUAUCCUUCACAGACAAGCCAACAAUGUAAUUUUCGAAGUGUCAGUCAUUCCAGUGUUCCCUUCUAGGACUCCAUUUUAGGACCUUCACUUUACAGGAUAAAGCAACAAGAAUCUGUAAAUAUGAUCACUCCCAACAGCAAAAAAGGUUCGAGUUGGAUACAAGGGACACCAAUUUUUCAAUAGCAAAAGCAUGCAAGACAGGCCUUAUAUAAGGGUUCUAUAGCAUUCCCGUGAAUCAAAGAUAAGAAUAACAAUAGAUGAUUGAUACAAACCAGAGAAAUGAUUGAAAUUUUCGGAAAACAAGAUAUAGAAGAAACAUUCAACUUUCCACAUGAGGCAAUAAAUAAUAAAUGGUCUAAAAGAAAAGUCGGAAGAAAUAUGUAUGACUGACGUAAGUUAACACCACUGCUUCCAAAAAGCCUGAGAGAUGCGAUCAGAAACCCCAAGGACUCUUUACUAAAGAUGCAUAUUGGGUCUAAUUCUUUCGAAUUCAGUGAUUCUGUCAUUCUUUACACUCGAGUUAUUUUUUGUUCACACACCGACUUAGAACUCAAACCCUUUUUAUAAGGGACAUUAAGGCAACAGCAUAAACAACAGUGCCAUCAAUUUGACAAAAAUAUAUAACCCACAAAUUACAUCACAAAACUGUGAGAUUCAAACAACAAGAUGAAAGACUUGCGGAUCAUUAAUCACAUAAAAAGCAGUCAAUGAAAACCAAUCUAUAGUUUGGAGAUUCCCAAUUUAUGAAUUUAAAAACUUAUGUGAAAGAACUCACAAUCAGAAACCUUAUCAAAAAAAUUGCCAACAUCAAGUAAAUAUACGAAAGAACUCACAAGGAAAAACCUUAUAAUCAAAAUCUUUCCCAACAUCAAGUAAAUAUGUGAAAGAACUCACAAGCAAGGGAAUCGAAAACUUCCUAUCAAUCUGUGGAGAGAAGGACAUAAAGUAACUAUUAAUCACAUCAUACUCAUAAAGUUUUCAUGAUCCGGCAAAACUCAGAGGGUUGAAAUCUCAUUCUUCCACUGAAAAUACCUUAACAUCCUAAAUUUACAAAACUAAAAGACAAGUAUUUAACUCAUAUAACACCACUAAGAUUUCUUCCCAGCGACCAUAUAAAGGCAUAUCAUUAUAUAAAAGUCUCUGACACCAACUUGCAUAUAAAAAAUCAACAUGCAGUCCAAUAAUUGUAAGUAUAUAAGCACCAUAAUAUAUGUCCAACAAUAUGAAAGAACCCAAUUCAGUUAGCCACACAAUUUCAAACCAACAGUUAGCCAUAUUAUAUUCUAGAAUUACUGACCUGGUAUCAGAGGAUUGCUGUUCAAAUAUUCGAACAAAGAUAAGAUAACUCUUUAGGGACAUAUAUAUGGUUUCCUUCUAGGACCCCAAUGGGGUAAAAGGACAACCAAACUUGGGAGAGAGUACUAGGAUACAAGUGAUGUUGGGGAGAGAAUACUAACGGGAUUUCCAGCAUAGUUUUUGGUUUAGUUGUGAACAAAGGUAGGAUAAGAUGUUACAUUAGGUACAUCCUUUGAUUAGGAACAUAGAUUAACCUAAAAAGGGUUCCUGUCUAGGACCCCUAGGAAGAGAUGCGACCUUGUUGAAGCUUUACUAACAAAUUAAAAUUAUAAAUCCCAUGCACCACAAUUUGAAAAGCAGACCUCAAAUAUGUACCUCCGGAUGAGAGGGUAGUUUAAUCCAUAUAUAAACAAUCUGAUAGAUCAUCAGAAAUCAGUAGUAUAGUAUUAAUAGAAGUCCAAAGAGCAGAAAGAUAACACAAAGACUGUUGUCAUAGUAUAUUUAGGGUAAACCCCAACUUACAGACUCUGAAUCGGUUCCAAUCUAGGAUUCCAUAGAUAUAAGGCUCAUCUGAAGGACAGAAGGACAAUCGAAUGACUAUUGUCAUAGUACAAUCAUGGAAAGCCAGUUUACAAAUCCUGAAUAGAUUCCCAUCUAGGACCCUCUUGACAAAUGACUCGUCCAAAGGGCAGAAGGGCAACCAUACCGACUGUUGCCAUAGUAUAUUUAUGGGAAACCAGAUUUCAGACUUUUAAAAUAGAUUCCCCUCUAGGACCCUUUAGACAAAUGGCUCGUCUGAAGGCAGAAAGGCAACCAUACGACUACUGUCAUAGCAUAUUCACGGGAAACCAGAUUUAGGACUUUGAAUAGGUCCCCAUCUAGGACCCUAUAUACAUAGGGCUCAUCAAAGGGUAGAAGGGCAACCGAAAGACUGUUUCAUAGCAAAUUUCUUGCCAACUAGCUGACUGACCUCGUAUAUGUACCCAUCUAGAACCCUAUGGACAAAAGGGUCGUCCAAAUGGAAGAAGGGCAACUGAAAGCUUGUUCUCAUAGUACAUUUCAGGUAAACCAUAAGCUUAUGAUUUCCACUUCACCAACCAUCAGAUUUCAGAAAUAACAGAGGCACAAAAACCCGUACAGGGAAGGGACUCCACCUAAGAUUGAUGAAAACUUAUAAAAAAAGGUAGGGGCUAAACCACAAUUUGAAAAGCAAACCUCAAAUAUGUACCUCCGGAUGAAAGGGUAAUUUAAUCCAUAUAUGAACAAUCUAAUAGAUCAUCAGAAAUCAGUAGUAUAGUAUUAAUAGAAGUCCAAAGGGCAGAAAGAUAACGCAAAGACUGCUGUCAUAGUAUAUUUAUGGUAAACCCCAACUUAUGGACUUUGAAUCGGUUCCAAUCUAGGAUCCCAUAGAUACAAGGCUCAUCCGAUGGACAGAAGGGCAACCGAAUGAUUAUUGUCAUAGUACAAUCAUGGAAAGCCAGUUUACAAAUCCUGAAUAGAUUCCCAUUUAGGACCCUCUUGACAAAUGGCUCGUCCAAAGGGCAGAAGGGCAACCAUACCGACUGUUGUCAUAGUAUAUUUAUGGGGAAUCAGAUUUCAGACUUUUAAAAUAGAUUUCCAUCUAGAACUCUUUAGACAAAUGGCUCGUCUGAAGGCAGAAGGGCAACCAUACGACUACUGUCAUAGCAUAUUCACGGGAAACCAGAUUUAGGACUUUGAAUAGGUCCCCAUCUAGGACCCUAUAUACAUAGGGCUCAUCAAAGGGUAGAAGGGCAACCGAAAGACUGUUUCAUAGCAAAUUUCUUGCCAACCAGCUGACUGACCUCGUAUAUAUACCCAUCUAGAACCCUAUGGACAAAAGGGUCGUCCAAAUGGAAGAAGGGCAACUGAAAGCUUGUUCUCAUAGUACAUUUCAGGUAAACCACAAGCUUAUGAUUUCCAUUUCACCAACCAUCAGAUUUCAGAAUUAACUGAGGCACAAAAAACCAUACAGGGAAGAGACUCCGUCUAAGAUUGAUGAAAACUUAUAAAAAAAAGGUAGGGGCUACCCAUCUCAUAAUCUUGAAAUAUGGUUGAACACCAUCCUAACCAUCUUAUGUUACCAACGUCCACUGCAUCAUCAGAAUUUGAUAUUCAUAUACCGAAAUGGGACAGAUAGAUCACUAAUCAAAUAAAAACCAGUAAUGACAAUCAAUCUGUGGUUUUGACCUUCUGAUACAUCGGGAACAAGAUGAGUUUUGAAAUAUGUCGUAAGUACUUUCUAAAAGAACCCAGAAACAAGGCCUCGUCAACAUAUUUCCCAACUUCAUGUAAGUAUUUAAUUUUCAGAAAAAAAAUUAUGAGUGGAGAGAAGGACAUACAAUACAAUUAAUCACCUUAAACUCGUAAAAUUUCAUGAUCCGACGAAACUAGGAGAUGGCAGAGGAUUGAAAUCUCCUUUUCAGAUGGCAAUUUUUGAAACCCUAAUUUUACAUAAGGUAAAGACAAGCAUUUUAAAGAACCCACAAACCAAGGGACUCAAUUGAGAAAGCAAACUAUCGAUGGAAAAGAAAGGAGAUGAAUUACCGCUAAUCAAAUAAUAAUGACCAAGUUUCAUGAUCAUGCAGGAACGAAAGAGGGCAGAAGAUUGAAUCCUCGUUUCGUUUACGAAUCGGAACUCAUGAAACCCUAGAUUCAUAUAAACAGAACCGAGAAGCAUUGGAAAGAUAAUAAAAUAACAUAGCUCCAACUUCCCUGAAUGAAGUAAUUAUAGAAUAGUCUGCACGGACUUGAUAAUCAGAAACCCACAUAACCGCAUAACGUUUACAAGAAGGUAAAUUGCCAUUCACAAAGUUUCAUGUUCCCACCAAAAUCAAGAGGAAGAACCUCCGAUGAAAGUCAUCAUUUACUCAAAAUCACAAUUUCAAUUGAGACAACUGUCGAUAGAGAAGAAGCGAGAUGAGAUGAAUUACCAUUCAUAAAGUUUCAUGAUCCUGCUGGUAUGAGAGAGGCGCAGAAGAUUGAAUCCUCAUCAACACGAACUGAAACUAAUGAAACCCUUGCUAGAUUCAUAAUUUCAUACAAACAGAGUAGAAAAGGGCGAGAGCGAGAGCGAGA